UAAAUAAAAACAUAAUUGCCAGAAUAAGAAGUCUAACAUGCACCUUGCUAUAUAUAUAUAUAUAUGUUAAUGCUUAAUGCAAUGCUGUCGGCUAGUCAGAGUGAUACUGAUUGACUCAAAUCACCUGCAUGUAUGCAUAGAUUCCCCAAACUCCAUACCAAGAACCAAAUGAGAGAGUUUAUAUUAAAAUUAAAUCAUAUUAAACAGCACAAACUAAAGUAUAAACCAGAAAUAGUUGCUCUUUGUGAUAGUGAUAAACUGAUAACUUUUUUUAGAGCCUUGCUUUGUUGAAACGGUUAAAAAUAGUAUAGAUCAAAGUGAUUAUGUUGAGACAUGACUACAGGCAUGAACAAAAAAGUGGAAGAGAGGUCCAUGGAAAUAUAAUGCAGCAAAAGCACUUAGAUUGAACUGCUUAAAUAACCAAACCGUAGAUAAUGUCAGUUCAUAGUAAGAUUAAGCAAGUACCUGUUGCAGCUGCAGCAGUAAGAGUUAUAAGAUCACCCGGUGUUUGAAUAUCAACUGCAGACUUGACGGUAGAAGC
Molecule: long non-coding RNA, 541 nt
Filed under: Trifolium pratense (red clover)
Lineage: Eukaryota; Viridiplantae; Streptophyta; Magnoliopsida; Fabales; Fabaceae
Description: long non-coding RNA (TPRA_LNC010936)
Source: RNAcentral